AGCAGUUGAGUCAAAUUUAGCUCUUGUCUCGAUGUGACGGGAGCUGGCCCAGGUGGCUGCUACAGCGAACUCUGUUGCUCAGAGGCUCUGGGUCCCUGGCUGGACCCUGGGGAAGAAUUUGGAUAUGGACAUAG
This is a small nucleolar RNA of Cavia aperea (Brazilian guinea pig), 134 nucleotides long. NCBI's taxonomy places the organism in Eukaryota, Metazoa, Chordata, Mammalia, Rodentia, Caviidae. The record is from Ensembl.